CGUUGUUUGACGUUAGCGACAGAAGAAAGCACCGGCUAACUCCGUGCCAGCAGCCGCGGUAAUACGGAGGGUGCGAGCGUUAAUCGGAAUUACUGGGCGUAAAGCGCAUGCAGGUGGUUUGUUAAGUCAGAUGUGAAAGACCCGGGGCGUCAACCUCGGAAUUAGCAUUUGUAAACUAGGCAGACUAGAGUACUGUAGAGGGGGGUAGGAAUUUCAGGUGUAGCGGUGAAAUAGCGUAGAGAUCUGAAGGAAUACCGGUGGCGAAGGCGGCCCCCUCGGACAGAUACUGACACUCAGAUGCGAAAGCGUGGGGAGCAAACAGGAUUAGAUACCCUGGUAG
This 340-nucleotide ribosomal RNA is filed under the name uncultured bacterium. RNAcentral describes it as "bacterial SSU rRNA". It matches the Rfam family "Bacterial small subunit ribosomal RNA", at positions 463 to 793 of the family's 1533-position model. The record is from RNAcentral.